CGUCUCUCUGUGCUGACAGAUCAGGAGAUGCCGCAGUCUAUGAUGUCAGACAGGCAGGCAAACAGCCCUGGGGGACAGUCCCUGCUCCUUCCCUUCCUAAGACCGGAACGCCGGGAAUUAUGUCACUUUGCAAAGGACUGGAAGCCUCUUGGGGUGUCCUUGGCGAGACUGCAAGUUUCUGUGGAGAGGGAGGCCACGACCCAGCUCAGGAUAAGCAGAGGAAGAUGGCUGAAUGGAGAUCAAUGUCUCUAUAAUCACAAUUUAAAAGAUAUUGUGACAAAAAAGUAGAAUAUCUCUUAAAAUUUCACUAAAUGAUUGCUUUUUGCUACUUUAGACUCUAUCUAAAAAUACAUAUGCAGACAUUUCAAUUGUUUAUACAAAUGAUUAAGCAAUAUUUUAAAAGAAGUGACAUUUACUCAGCAAAAACUAUAUCUUAAGAAAGUAAAAAUACCCAAAAUGUCUUAUUUUCUGUCUUGAAAGAAAAAUAAUCUUAUAAAGAAAGGUUUUCACUGGCAAAAUCAUCUUAGUUUGAGAAAACAUGUCAUAGUGACUGACAUGUUUUUCUUCAAAUUUGAAUUCUUAGUAAGAAUUUUUGCUUAUUUAAAGAAAUAUGUCAAUGGGGUAAAUAUUUUUUACUUAUUUCAAUGAGGCCUGUUUCUGAAGUGUAUCUAAAUGCAUUAAAGUCACAUUUUGCAUGAACUGCUAAGUCGGAUUUUACAGCUGAGUUAUUUUAUAGUGCUGUAGCCAUUUCCCUAAGUGGCAGGAGGGAUAUCAUGGACAAUAGUAAGAGUACACUGCCCUAAUAAAUCAUUUUACACAAAAGAAAGCACACACACCUGCGUACACACACCUGGACAUGCGUUUACACACUUCAUUCUUGCUUUUUCCGAGCCCCGCCCAGCAUAGAACAAGAAGUGCAUGACGGUGCUCUCUUGGACACGAGGAUUUAAUAGGUGACCCUGGCUGCAUGCUGGGUCCCCCGCUGCCUUGGCUCAUCCAGCUGUAAAAUAAGGCCCAGGCAGGACCUGGCUGAUAAUGAGAACUGGCAUUUUGCUCAAGAUAACCUCAGGAAAAUCGCUUCUAUAAAUACCUUCUAUAAAUAAAAGUCUACCUUGGCCCAAGACUGCGUCAGGGUCUCUCUCUGAAAAGGUCACUUAUUGCCCUGUUUUCACCACAACUCACCAUGGUCUCGUUUCCUUCUUCCAAAGUACUUUUCACUUUAGGUCCUCUUGUAACUUUUUUUUUUCAUUUUUUUUUUUUUUUCCCACAAGCUUUUUGCUUCAACUGCUGAAGAGACACUGUUGUAUUACAGAUGUCCUGAGACCUAUGAAAUGCUCUUUCAAUGUUGAGUUAUUUUGUACAUCCUGCACCAGUCAAUUGACAAAUCUUAACUUUUGGAAAGAGUUGUGGAGGCACAAAUUUUCACCUACAAAUUUGCAAUU
Molecule: long non-coding RNA, 1442 nt
Organism: Oryzias melastigma (Indian medaka)
Lineage: Eukaryota; Metazoa; Chordata; Actinopteri; Beloniformes; Adrianichthyidae
Exons: 2
Source: RefSeq, a predicted model, not a curated record